UCUCACACAUAAAACCUUGCUAAAAAUGAAUUUAUAAUCCGAGAUUACAAAAUGCAUGAGGCAGCAAUCCACCAUGAAAGCAAGAGUCAGCUGACACAAAUAAAAACUUGGUUAAAUGAAUGAAUGGUGAAUGCUUUAGGUAAUUUCUCUCUUUGGAGAGAAAAAGGCUCUUGUUUGUCACUCAGAGAAGGUUAGAUUAGUAUACCCCCAUUUUAGGAGCAAGAAAAUGAAGGAACAGACAGGAAGUACGUCCUGAAAUGAGAUGGUUUUUCGUCAGCCACCUGAGAUCUGGUGGGGCCACCAACCUCCUGGUCCAAUAAGCCCAGGCCAGGUUGCUUCACUAAAUCAGGAAAUAAAAUGAGCUGGUGGCUUUGAUGAGGAGGCUGGGAUGGCAAAUGCUCACACUGGGACUAGGGAGGGGUUUAGCAGUGGUCAGGAAAAGGAGGAAGCCAGCACUUAGUGAGAAGCACUCCAGGUCACCAUCUAUUGGAUUUGCAGGUUUAUUUCCAGGUGAGGGAUACCCACUCACCUUCGAGUCACUAAACGCCCUUGGACAUUUUAGGUAUAACCCACACAACCCCACAACCUGGGGCCUCAAAUGACCUAACUGAUGGGUCCAGGAAGGCACAUGCCCCAGUGUGUAGUUACAGAAACUCAGAUCUGAAGGAAACGGUCUCACCUCAAACCCUCACCUGCCUCAUUUCUAAUCCCUUUGCACCCCCAGCACCCGCCUCCCAUGGUCACACUCAGACGGAGGCACAGAAGUGGAAUGCUCUGGGCCUCAGGUGGGAGGCGCACUUCCAUGCACCACAGCCGCUGUGUCCGUCUCUGCCUUCCCUCUGCCCCGUUCCCAGCGGCCUUCAUCAGAACGACCACCUGGGCGCACAGCGACACACCGUCUGCCACUCUCUCUACCUCAUUCCAGGACUCAGACAGGAAAACUCCUCUGUGGUUAAACGAUAACAGAAAUAAAAGCAACAUAACAAAAGGACAUGUUGGCUGCUGCUUUGAGAAUAUGGAUGCAGCGUUCAGUUCUGGAGCCAGGUUCUUUAGGAUGUGACUGCUCGCCAACUGUCACUGAAGGACGAGGACGGAGCCCUGCACAGCCAUUUUAUUAGCAAUCCAAGAAGAGAUGCGCUGCCUGGCAGCCCAGGGCCACCCUGCAGCAGCCCCGAGGA
Manis javanica (Malayan pangolin) is the source of this 1178-nucleotide non-coding RNA. NCBI's taxonomy places the organism in Eukaryota, Metazoa, Chordata, Mammalia, Pholidota, Manidae. The record is from RefSeq and is a predicted model, not a curated record.